GAAAUUUUCAAAGCGUUCCAUCAUAUUCGCUUCAAAUUCCUGUUUAUUUGUCUUCCGCGUCCAAAUUCGAGCGAUGAGCAGGAGCAGAAUUUGCCAAUUUGCUCAAUCCGCGACCUCUGCAACUGCUUUUAUCCUACAAACUUAACAAAUCGCAUCAAAUUCAUCGAGGUCUGAACUUGGCUGUGCAGCUACCCAGCUACUGCUCCAUCUUCCUGGACCGGGACCUCAAGUCAAGCUCUCUCUCUCUCUCUCACCCACCACCGGGCGCCCGUCGCGGCCGCAACAGGCCAGCCCAGCAGCAGCAGCAGCCAGGCAGCCAUGGUGGAGAGGCCGCAGCGGAGGAAGCCGCUGGUGCUCGCCUCCACGCAGGCGCUCCUCGACUCGCUCCCGGGGGACCGCCCGCCGCCGCCGCCGCCGCAGGAGCCGGUGCGCCUCCGGACCGGCGUCCUCCGCUUCCCGUCGGGGGGCGGCGCCGAGUUCGGGGAGCUCGCAACCUUCGUCGCCCUCCCCGCGCCAGCGCUCCGAAGGCUCGCGGUCGUCACCGGCACGCCUGUGCUUGUCAAGAAUGCUGACAAUAAUGUCGGGAGAAUUGUUAAAGCAAUAUUACUUGAUCACCCAUCUCUUGACGAGUCUGGGACAGAACAGACUGAUCAUGCGGCAUCUGCCUCUCCUCAUGGUCGUGCUAUGGGUAUCUUACCUUUUCGUUCGUUUCCUGCUACUGGUUUUGCAUCUGUGGAUGAAGAUAUCGCUUAUGUCAGCCCACUUUUGGCAUUCAACUUGGGAUUGCAUGUUUCUUGUCUGAAGCUUCUUAUCCAAAAAGGACAGGAGCCUUUCAAGUUUUGUUCUCGAUCUGAAGAGCUUCAUUCUGCUUCCAAUGCUGGGAGUGAUCUUUCCCUUCACUUAGACCUUCUUCCAUGCGCUCAAGUUCCUAAAUAUGCUUCACAUUUACGGAUUUCUGUUGUGAGGAUUCCUGAAUGUGGUGUGCUUGCUUCUUUAAAGAUAAAUUCAUCCUUUGGAGAAAGUGACUACCAAGACAUGGUGGAUCAAGCUUUGAACGAGUACUUUAAGUUUGAUAGGUUCCUAGCAAGAGGGGAUGUCUUUUGCAUACGGAACAAUUGGAAUUGUGGCAUGAGCUCCUGUCUAGCAUGCAAUAGGCAGGAUGAUAAUUUGCGUCCUCGUAAUAUGAUCUACUUUAAGGUGACAAGCAUGGAACCAUCAGAUGAACCUAUUCUUCGUGUUAAUUGCAAUGAGACAGCCCUUGUGCUUGGGGGAGCUGCUUCUGCUGCAAUCCCCCCUUACUCCUUCUUUGCUGCUUCUGGUGACCCACUUCCUUUGCAUGGUGAAAUAGUGGAGCAUUUAGCCUCUAUCAUUGCCCCAGCAUUAUGCCCUUCAGAUAUAUUACCUAAAAUCAAGUUUUCCACUUUUAUAUACGGCCCUUCAGGAUGCGGAAAGCGCACAGUGGUGAGGCAUGUUGCUAGCCAUCUUGGUCUGCACGUGGUUGAGUGUAGCUGUCAUGAUCUCAUGACUUCGUCAGAAAGUGGUGCACCUGCUGCACUUACAGCUGCCUUCAAAGAAUCUCAGAAGUAUUCCCCUUGUAUAAUGCUUCUUCGACACUUUGAUGCAAUUGGGAAUGCAUCCUCCAAUGAGGACCCAGAAUCUGAGCAAUCUGGGAUUGCGUCAAACAUUGAAUCUGUUAUCAAGCAGUACACUGGACAAAGUUGGGUUGCUACGGACUCGAUGCCAGGAAGAGAUGUAAAUGGGAGCUCAUACCCUGUGGAGCCUGAAUAUGUAAGCUCUCUUCAGAUUAUACUAGUUGCAACUGCAGACAGUUCUGAAGGAAUGCAACAAUCAAUUAGGCGAUGUUUCCGCCAUGAGAUUGACAUGAAGACUAUGAAUGAAGAGCAGAGAAAGAAACUGAUAUCUGAGACACUUCAAGGCAUUGCAACAGUUGCAGAUGAGAGUAUUGAUGACAAGUUCGUAAAAGACUUAGCAGCACAAACGUCAGGAUUCAUGUCGAGGGACAUACUUGCACUGGUUGCAGAUUCUGGUGUGUCUUUUGCACAUAAAAUUGCAGCAGAGAAAGAUAGCAAAGGAAUCAGUGAUCAUGAGGAGAUCCUUCCAGAAAGCUCUUCUGCCACUCAAAAUGAGGAAAUACAUUUCUGCAAAGAAGAUAUUCUGUGUUCCUUGGAACGAGCUAAGAAAAGGAAUCGUGCUGCACUGGGCACACCCAAAGUUCCCAAUGUCAAAUGGGAGGAUGUUGGUGGGCUAGAGGAAGUGAAAAAGGUUAUUCUAGAUACUAUUCAGUUGCCACUGAUGUACAAACACCUUUUUUCUUCUAAAUUGCGGAAGCGGUCAGGUGUCCUGCUUUAUGGACCUCCAGGAACAGGGAAGACCUUAUUGGCGAAAGCAGUAGCUACUGAAUGCUCGUUGAACUUUCUUAGCGUGAAAGGUCCAGAACUGAUAAACAUGUAUGUUGGAGAAUCAGAGAAGAAUGUUAGGGACAUUUUUGAGAAGGCUAGAUCUGCACGCCCAUGUGUCAUUUUCUUUGAUGAGCUUGAUUCCCUAGCUCCAGCACGAGGAUCCUCGGCAGAUUCUGGUGGUGUUAUGGACAGAGUUGUUUCCCAGUUACUUGUGGAGAUAGAUGGGUUGAGCGAUAACAGCCAGGACCUUUUCAUUAUUGGGGCUACCAAUAGGCCCGACCUUCUUGAUUCUGCUCUUCUUCGCCCUGGACGGUUUGAUAAGCUUCUCUAUGUUGGUGUAAUAACUGAUGCAUCAUACAGGGAAAGGAUCCUUAAAGCACAGACGCGCAAAUAUAAGCUCCACAGUAAUGUUUCUCUCUUGUCAGUUGCUCAGCGUUGUCCUCCAAACUUUACCGGUGCCGAUAUUUAUGCACUGUGUGCGGAUGCAUGGUUUCAUGCAGCAAAGAGAUCCGUUAAAACAUUUGAAAUUGAUCCUUCAAGAAAUAACGAUGCCAGCGCAGAAGAGGUCAUUGUUGAGAUUGAUGAUUUUAUGACGGUAUUAGGAGAUAUAUCACCAUCACUAUCACUGGAGGAGCUUCAGAACUACGAACAGUUGAGGCAGAAGAUUGAAGGGCCUUCUAGAUGAUGACGUUAGCAGUAAUAUAUUAUUUCUCAUUAAUGAUUUUGUCCGACCAGAGACACCCAAGUGCUUGUUUUGACAGAUGGUGCCAUGACUAUAAGUGCCCACUGCUGAUGAGUGAUGGAUGUGGACGUUUUUCUAGUUCCACCAUGUGCUGGAUUUAUCCGGUUACAUCUUUAUCGGCUGAUUUGUAUUACACCAGCUUCAAUUUUUUUAAAGAGAGGCUACCUUCUUAUAUAUCUAGGUUUUAAUGAGAUGACCGAGUAGAUUUUACCAAAUGAUAUGAAUCUAUUUUGCACAAUUGCAUUUGAAACUGCGCUUUGUGCUUAAGAGAAGAAGACAGUGCACAGUUGCAUUUGUCCCAGUA
Molecule: RNA transcript, 3466 nt
Organism: Panicum virgatum (switchgrass)
Lineage: Eukaryota; Viridiplantae; Streptophyta; Magnoliopsida; Poales; Poaceae
Gene name: peroxisome biogenesis protein 6-like
Exons: 17
Source: RefSeq, a predicted model, not a curated record